RNAcentral lists this ribosomal RNA (380 nucleotides) under uncultured Leptolinea sp. RNAcentral's name for it is "bacterial SSU rRNA". It matches the Rfam family "Bacterial small subunit ribosomal RNA", at positions 986 to 1382 of the family's 1533-position model. The record is from RNAcentral. Lineage: Bacteria; Bacillati; Chloroflexota; Anaerolineae; Anaerolineales; Anaerolineaceae.
AUGCAAGUGGUAGGAACCGAAAGGCGACCGACCCUCGGGAGCUUGCACAGGUGCUGCAUGGCUGUCGUCAGCUCGUGUCGUGAGAUGUUCGGUUAAGUCCGCUAACGAGCGCAACCCUCGCUGUGUGUUACAAGUGUCACACGGUACUGCCGGUCUUAAGCCGGAGGAAGGUGGGGAUGACGUCAAGUCAGCAUGGCCUUUAUGUCCUGGGCUACACACACGCUACAAUGGCCAACACAAUAGGUUGCUAAGCCGCGAGGUGGAGCCAAUCCUCAAAGUUGGUCUCAGUUCAGAUUGCAGGCUGCAACCCGCCUGCAUGAAGAUGGAGUUGCUGGUAACCGCAGGUCAGCUAUACUGCGGUGAAUACGUUCCCGGGUCUU